RNAcentral lists this ribosomal RNA (497 nucleotides) under uncultured bacterium. RNAcentral's name for it is "partial 16S ribosomal RNA". It matches the Rfam family "Bacterial small subunit ribosomal RNA", at positions 29 to 523 of the family's 1533-position model. The record is from RNAcentral.
AUUGAACGCUGGCGGCAUGCCUUACACAUGCAAGUCGAACGGUAACGCGGGGCAACCUGGCGACGAGUGGCGAACGGGUGAGUAAUGCAUCGGAACGUGCCUGGUAGUGGGGAUAACUGCUCGAAAGAGCAGCUAAUACCGCAUACGACCUGAGGGUGAAAGGGGGGGAUCGCAAGACCUCUCGCUAUCAGAGCGGCCGAUGUCGGAUUAGCUAGUUGGUGGGGUAAAGGCCCACCAAGGCGACGAUCCGUAGCUGGUCUGAGAGGACGACCAGCCACACUGGGAAUGAGAGACGGCCCAGACUCCUACGAGAGUGAGCAGUGGGGAAUUUUGUACAAUGGACGCAAGUCUGAUCCAGCCAUGCCGCGUGCGGGAAGAAGGCCUUCGGGUUGUAAACUGCUUUUGUGAGGGAAGAAAUCCUCUGGGUUAAUACCCCGGGGGGAUGACGGUACCUGAAGAAUAAGCACCGGCUAACUACGUGCCAGCCGCCGCAGUAA